UGGAGGUAUGAGGAUCCGCGCAAUGCGGUUCGGAGGCGGCCGCGGCGCCCCAGAGGUGAAAGCGGAGGCGCCAGGACGCCGGUGCCGGCCUCUCAGGAUGCUAGGCGGCCACACACGAGUAUUGAGGAUCAAAGUUAGAACCCCGCACUUGUGAGGAAGGCCCAGUGCCACUGAGCUAAAUCCCCAGCCCCUGAAUUUAUGAUCUUGCCUCAGCCUCCCAAAGUGCUGGGAUUACAGAUGAGGAAACUGAGGCCCAGAGAGAUCACACAGCUACUAAGUCAAGGAGCUGGGACAGGCGUGGGUGCUGAAAAGUGAUUGAUACUGAUAGUAAAAUUGAGGAAGACAUGAUGUUUUUGUAAUUUGAGAAAAAUCACUGAAGAAUAAACUAUAUGAAGUCAUUGAUGCCAAAUUCCCAGCCCCAGCCUUUGCAGCUGCCCCGCCUGGGGUUCGUCUCUAUGGGAAGGAGUCUUUGCCGUGGACAGAGGCCGUGAUGACGAAGGUCAGGCUUAGAGAUCCAGGAAGUUGAGACAUGGAAAGCAGGAGUGGAGCAAGGAGGGUGGCAAAAAUCAUGACAUUUCACACACUCCGCCCCAGUGGAACCCAUCUUCCUCUGCUGUCUAACUGAAGAACUAGCAAUGCCUUCCAAAGCUAAAGGAAACUCCAGCUCCAUGCAACAGAUGGUGCCAAGUGAUAGAAAGAAAACAGUGGGAAGAAUACCUGGUAUAUAGCAGAAAACUGGAGCUUCAACAUGGUGGCAUACAGGUAAAGUCUAAUUGCCAGUCCUCCCCAGGGUGUGUCUCUCUCCCCUGAACAGGUUCUAAUAAAAGAAGUGGUUUGGGACUGCCCAGGUUCUUGUAGGCACAGAGUGGUCAAGCUUUGCAGACGUGUGAGGUGGUUGCUGCUAGUCCUAGACCACCUGUGAAAACGCAAGUGAUGUAGCUAAACAAAUAUUUUAUGACUUCUCUUGGUUACAAAAAUGAAGUAAAUUUCCAGAAAUGUGAUUGUGGGUAAAUACAGAGACUAUUUGAAAUUGGACGAGAACUGAAUCAAAUUCAAGGGUUAGCUUCAAUGUUGACCUUAUGAGGAAACUUGAUGUGGUUCUCAUCCGCUUCAUUAUGUGACCAGAAUUGUGGAGAGAAUUAAGUUCAUGAACUGAGGUACCACUGUACUUCAUUGUCCUAAUGGAUAGAAGGAG
RNAcentral lists this long non-coding RNA (1195 nucleotides) under Heterocephalus glaber (naked mole-rat). Its description in RNAcentral is "lncRNA (ENSHGLG00000036937.1)". Lineage: Eukaryota; Metazoa; Chordata; Mammalia; Rodentia; Bathyergidae. The record is from RNAcentral.